UAAGAAUAUUCCGCAAUGGACGAAAGUCUGACGGAGCGACGCCGCGUGGAUGAAGAAGGCCGCAAGGUUGUAAAAUCCUUUUGCUGGGGAGGAAUAAGUCCAGGAGGGAAUGCCUGGAUGAUGACACGAACCGGCGAAUAAGCCCCGGCCAACUACGUGCCAGCAGCCGCGGUAACACGUAGGGGGCAAGCGUUGCUCGGAAUUACUGGGCGUAAAGGGCAUGUAGGCGGUUUAGUAAGCUUGGCGUGAAAGACCACAGCUCAACUGUGGGGUUGCGUUGAGAACUGCUGAACUUGAGUUACGGAGAGGGAGCUAGAAUUCCUGGUGUAGGGGUGGAAUCUGUAGAGAUCAGGAAGAAUACCGAUGGCGAAGGCGGCUUUCUGGACUGUAACUGACGCUGAGGCACGAAAGCGUGGGGAGCGAACA
RNAcentral lists this ribosomal RNA (426 nucleotides) under uncultured prokaryote. Its description in RNAcentral is "bacterial SSU rRNA". It matches the Rfam family "Bacterial small subunit ribosomal RNA", at positions 356 to 774 of the family's 1533-position model. The record is from RNAcentral.